AUACGGAGGGGGCUAGCGUUGUUCGGAUUUACUGGGCGUAAAGCGCGCGUAGGCGGUAUAUCAAGUUAGGCGUGAAAGCCCCGGGCUCAACCCGGGAACUGCGCUUAUUACUGAUAAACUAGGGUCCGGGAGAGGGUGGCGGAAUUCCCAGUGUAGAGGUGAAAUUCGUAGAUAUUGGGAAGAACACCAGUUGCGAAGGCGGCCACCUGGACCGGUACUGACGCUGAGGAGCGAAAGCGUGGGGAGCAAACGGGAUUAGAUACCCCAGUAGUCC
This 274-nucleotide ribosomal RNA is filed under the name uncultured bacterium. RNAcentral describes it as "partial 16S ribosomal RNA". It matches the Rfam family "Bacterial small subunit ribosomal RNA", at positions 523 to 796 of the family's 1533-position model. The record is from RNAcentral.